RNAcentral lists this long non-coding RNA (285 nucleotides) under Prunus dulcis (almond). Its description in RNAcentral is "sRNA ncRNA". The record is from RNAcentral. Lineage: Eukaryota; Viridiplantae; Streptophyta; Magnoliopsida; Rosales; Rosaceae.
CUGGGUCUUGGAAAACGAAACAACUCUUUCCCAUGUAGAAACAAGAUGAAACGAAGCAACCAUUUCUCUUCAGUCCUUCUUUUUGCAAUACCACCACCCCCACUGCAGGUUUGCCCCGAAGUCUCUAUUUGUGUUUCUUUUACUCACCUAAUAGAUCUGAUUUGCUGAUCGUUGUAUACGUUUACUGCAGAUCUAUAAAUGACAAACGAAGUGGAUUUCAACCCUCAGGUUAGCAAUCAGGUCCCUGAGAGCAGGCUGCCAUCAAAAGAAGCAAAAAAGAACCAA